CCCGGGCCUUGUACACACCGCCCGUCACACCAUGGGAGUUGGUUUUACCCGAAGACGGUGCGCUAACCGCAAGGAGGCAGCCGGCCACGGUAAGGUCAGCGACUGGGGUGA
RNAcentral lists this ribosomal RNA (111 nucleotides) under uncultured bacterium. RNAcentral's name for it is "partial 16S ribosomal RNA". It matches the Rfam family "Bacterial small subunit ribosomal RNA", at positions 1373 to 1483 of the family's 1533-position model. The record is from RNAcentral.